AUUCAUAGGUUGUUUUUCUUAUAAAAUAUUGUUAAAUUUUAAUGAUCCCAUUUGCAGCCAUUUCUCGUUGGAUUAAGCUCUGGGAUCAUCUUCAUCUCGCACCUCCUCAUUUGGCACUCAAAUAGUAGCGCAAGUCGCAAGAUGUUUUAUGCUUAAAGAUGUUGUGAAAUUAACCAAUGCAACUUUCAGUGCUGGAAGACCAAGGACCUCAAGUUCAAGUCCAUUAAAAGGCUAGACAAGGAUGCCAAGAUAUGCAUUCUUAGUGAAAUGCAACUCAUACCUUAAAAGAUUA
This is a long non-coding RNA of Chenopodium quinoa (quinoa), 292 nucleotides long. RefSeq lists it as uncharacterized. NCBI's taxonomy places the organism in Eukaryota, Viridiplantae, Streptophyta, Magnoliopsida, Caryophyllales, Amaranthaceae. The transcript has 3 exons. The record is from RefSeq and is a predicted model, not a curated record.